Lathyrus oleraceus (garden pea) is the source of this 539-nucleotide long non-coding RNA. RefSeq lists it as uncharacterized. The record is from RefSeq and is a predicted model, not a curated record. Lineage: Eukaryota; Viridiplantae; Streptophyta; Magnoliopsida; Fabales; Fabaceae. The transcript is spliced from 2 exons.
CAUAGCAGUAUUCAUCUUCCUCUCUCUGUUUCACGUUUCCAAACACAACUCCAUGAAAAACAAAAACAAAAAUUCCUCACGAAUUUUGCAAAACAAAAUCAAAACACAAAAUUAUCUACACAAACCCUCUCCAAAAUGUGUCCUUCAUCACAAAUAUAACCAUGAAAUCACAAAAAAGAAAUGAUACACGAAUCAGAUCGGAACACCCAAAACGAACCCUAACCUAACAAAAAUCCUUCAGUCGACUCAAGUUUCACACAAUCAAACAUGGCUAGCAACAUGGAAUCAUAUUUCAAAAGGAAAUUUAUAACAAAAUGCAAGGUAAGAGCGACUUAUUACCAAUUCGAAAGUUGUCGUUCCCAAUCCGAAAGUUAUUGGAACGACGAUUCCUUGAGGACAAAAUGGGUUUUCUGCUCAGAAAAGCAGAUGCAGCAGAAGAUGUAAAGAUAGUCAUUUUGUGUUAUUUUGGGUUACUGCAAAAGUAAACAUGUUGUAAACUUUGAUAUGUUUUGAAAUGUUUCUUUGUUAAGUUGGUUUUA